UACAGAGGUCUCAAGCGUUGUUCGGAUUCAUUGGGCGUAAAGGGUGCGUAGGCGGCGCGGUAAGUCGGGUGUGAAAUCUCGGAGCUUAACUCCGAAACUGCAUUCGAUACUGCCGUGCUUGAGGACUGGAGAGGAGACUGGAAUUUACGGUGUAGCGGUGAAAUGCGUAGAUAUCGUGAGGAACACUAGUGGCGAAGGCGAGACUCUGGACAGUUCCUGACGCUGAGGCACGAAGGCCAGGGGAGCAAACGGG
RNAcentral lists this ribosomal RNA (253 nucleotides) under uncultured bacterium. Its description in RNAcentral is "partial 16S ribosomal RNA". It matches the Rfam family "Bacterial small subunit ribosomal RNA", at positions 524 to 776 of the family's 1533-position model. The record is from RNAcentral.